RNAcentral lists this ribosomal RNA (393 nucleotides) under uncultured bacterium. Its description in RNAcentral is "bacterial SSU rRNA". It matches the Rfam family "Bacterial small subunit ribosomal RNA", at positions 30 to 423 of the family's 1533-position model. The record is from RNAcentral.
AUUGAACGCUGGCGGCAUGCCUUACACAUGCAAGUCGAACGGCAGCACGGGAGCAAUCCUGGUGGCGAGUGGCGAACGGGUGAGUAAUAUAUCGGAACGUGCCCAGUCGUGGGGGAUAACGUAGCGAAAGCUACGCUAAUACCGCAUACGAUCUAUGGAUGAAAGCGGGGGAUCGCAAGACCUCGCGCGAUUGGAGCGGCCGAUAUCAGAUUAGGUAGUUGGUGGGGUAAAAGCCUACCAAGCCUUCGAUCUGUAGCUGGUCUGAGAGGACGACCAGCCACACUGGAACUGAGACACGGUCCAGACUCCUACGGGAGGCAGCAGUGGGGAAUUUUGGACAAUGGGCGCAAGCCUGAUCCAGCAAUGCCGCGUGCAGGAUGAAGGCCUUCGGUU